RNAcentral lists this transfer RNA (67 nucleotides) under Filchnerella beicki. Its description in RNAcentral is "tRNA-His". The record is from RNAcentral. Lineage: Eukaryota; Metazoa; Arthropoda; Insecta; Orthoptera; Pamphagidae.
GCUUAAGUAUUUUAAUAAAAAUGUUGUUUUGUGGGAUCAAUGAUAUGGUGUAUUGCCAUCUUAGGCC